CUACGGGCGGCUGCAGUGAGGAAUAUUGCGCAAUGGGGGAAACCCUGACGCAGCGACGCCGCGUGGAUGAUGAAGGCCUUCGGGUCGUAAAAUCCUGUCAGAAGGAAAGAAGUGUAUGGUAGCUAAUAUCUGCCAUACUUGACGGUACCUUCAAAGGAAGCACCGGCUAACUCCGUGCCAGCAGCCGCGGUAAUACGGAGGGUGCAAGCGUUGUUCGGAAUUACUGGGCGUAAAGCGCGCGUAGGCGGGUUUAUAAGUCAGAUGUGAAAGUCCACGGCUCAACCCUGGAAGUGCAUUUGAAACUGUAAGACUUGAGUAUUGGAGGGGGGAGUGGAAUUCCCGGUGUAGAGGUGAAAUUCGUAGAUAUCGGGAGGAAUACGGGUGGCGAAGGCGACUAUCUGGACAAAUACUGACGCUGAGGUGCGAAAGCGUGGGGAGCAAACAGGAUUAGAUACCCCAGUAGUC
RNAcentral lists this ribosomal RNA (465 nucleotides) under uncultured bacterium. RNAcentral describes it as "partial 16S ribosomal RNA". It matches the Rfam family "Bacterial small subunit ribosomal RNA", at positions 339 to 795 of the family's 1533-position model. The record is from RNAcentral.